GCCUGUUUAACAAAAACAUGGCUCUUUGUUAUAAGUAAAUAAAGAGUCGAACCUGCCCAGUGAUAAUUUUUAACGGCCGCGGUACCCUGACCGUGCAAAGGUAGCAUAAUCAUUUGCCUUGUAAUUUAAGGCUAGUAUGAAAGGUUUGACAAGAAUGUAACUGUCUCCUAUUAAUUAAAUAGAAUUUUACUUAUAAGUGAAAAGGCUUAUAUAAUAUUAAUAGACAAGAAGACCCUAUCGAGCUUGAGGAAAAUUAGUAGAUUAUAAGAUAAUAAGUGAUAAAAUUAAAUCUAUUAAAAAUUUUGGUUGGGGCGACUGAGGAACAAAAAAAGCUUCCUUUAUAAAUUUAACUUUUAAGUAAUGAUCCAGAAAAUUCUGAUUAAAAAAAUUAGUUACCGUAGGGAUAACAGCAUUAUCUUUUUUGAGAGCUCUUAUCGAAAAAAAGGUUUGUGACCUCGAUGUUGGACCAGAAUGUCCUGAAGGUGUAGCAGCCUUUAAGGGUUGGUCUGUUCGACCAUUAAAAUUCUACGUGAUCUGAGUUCA
This 543-nucleotide ribosomal RNA is filed under the name Turriplicifer australis. Its description in RNAcentral is "partial 16S ribosomal RNA". It matches the Rfam family "Bacterial large subunit ribosomal RNA", at positions 1798 to 2613 of the family's 2925-position model. Lineage: Eukaryota; Metazoa; Mollusca; Gastropoda; Neogastropoda; Costellariidae. The record is from RNAcentral.